GUUUUUGAACGCACAUUGCACCGACAGUUUACUGUUGGUUUGUUUGUUUGAAUUGCUUGAA
RNAcentral lists this ribosomal RNA (61 nucleotides) under Entomophaga maimaiga. Its description in RNAcentral is "partial 5.8S ribosomal RNA". Lineage: Eukaryota; Fungi; Entomophthoromycota; Entomophthoromycetes; Entomophthorales; Entomophthoraceae. The record is from RNAcentral.